Molecule: small RNA, 82 nt
Filed under: Sinorhizobium meliloti 2011
Lineage: Bacteria; Pseudomonadati; Pseudomonadota; Alphaproteobacteria; Hyphomicrobiales; Rhizobiaceae
Description: putative ncRNA
Source: RNAcentral
UCCCAAAGAAGGGUCGGACGUGUUCCUGCGUCGGGCCAGGCCGGGCCACGAGGGUUGUAAGCCCAGGCCCUAAAUGCUAGAU